UUUGCUCCUCCAUGCAAAAAAUGAAGGGUAGAUAUUGUUUGGAGUUAACAAGUUUUACUCGUCUCUAUGCUUCACAUUUUGUAUUUACAAACGGGAUACAAUUGUUUGCAUGAAGUGAAGAAAACUGCAUUUUUGUU
This is a non-coding RNA of Caenorhabditis elegans, 137 nucleotides long. The record is from Ensembl. Lineage: Eukaryota; Metazoa; Nematoda; Chromadorea; Rhabditida; Rhabditidae.